Molecule: long non-coding RNA, 498 nt
Filed under: Salvia miltiorrhiza (redroot sage)
Lineage: Eukaryota; Viridiplantae; Streptophyta; Magnoliopsida; Lamiales; Lamiaceae
Description: long non-coding RNA (SMIL_LNC014278)
Source: RNAcentral
CCAAAUCAUCUAAGUACUUAGACCAAAUCAUAAUGAUCUCAACAAGAGUAUAGGCAAGUUCUAGUAAAAUACCAAGUUGGGAUGUCCAAAACACACAAGAAUAAAAUCAUGCUAUUAUGGGCAUAUUAGCAUUUAAAGCUCAAAACUCACAAGGUAUGCUCAAAGUCUCAAUUCCGUCAUACUCACUAUCCUAAGACAUGCUCAAACAAUCAACUCAAAUCAUCCACAACAACAAAUUCAUCCAUCAUACCCAAUCAACUCAUCAUUCCUAAUCAUGUCGGCUAGACCAAAAACACGAAACAAAAAAAAAAAACGUAGAGGCUUCCACACUCACACACUUUGCUCUGGGCAAAGUGCGUCAAUGUUGAGGUCCCAAACCGACGGACACAGAAAAACUACACGGAAUGCCUCCCCACUCACACACUUUGCCUUAGCCAAAGUGAGUCAAAAAGGAGGUAGACACAAACCAAAGCUAAAACAAAAAUAAAAACUACAUAC